GUCCGGUGCGCCCCCGGCGGCCC
RNAcentral lists this small nuclear RNA (23 nucleotides) under Arabidopsis thaliana (thale cress). RNAcentral's name for it is "snRNA_17723". Lineage: Eukaryota; Viridiplantae; Streptophyta; Magnoliopsida; Brassicales; Brassicaceae. The record is from RNAcentral.